CCUCAUUGAAUACUCUGGGAUAUUCGAAACAGACAGUUUAUCAAUAUCGCUCGACGUUACAUUCCUAAGCUGCCUAGCCAACUCCAACGUGUUGUUAGUCCAGUUAACCGGCACAAGAACCGCCCACGCAAGCACUGCUAUUGGAACAAAGAUCUUAAGCCUACACACACAAAUCAACAACACCAACAGAUUCAAGAAGACGACGAGAAACUAAGUACUAAAACCACAAAGGUUCAAGCCCUUUACCCUAGCCAGUAAAUCCUGAGAUACACAACAGAAUCCAAACCAGCGUGAUCAAUGAGAUUCGAAACAGACAGUUUAUCAAUAUCGCUCGACGUUACAUUCCUUAGCUGCCUAGCCAACUCCAACGUGUUGUUAGUCCAGUUAACCGGCACAAGAACCGCCCAAGCAAGCACUGCUAUUGGAACAAAGAUCUUAAGCCUGCACACACAAAUCAACAACACAACAGAAUCAAGAAGAGGAGGAGAAACUUAAGUACUAAAACCACAAAGGUUCA
This 517-nucleotide long non-coding RNA is filed under the name Brassica napus (rape). Its description in RNAcentral is "long non-coding RNA (BNAP_LNC000188)". The record is from RNAcentral. Lineage: Eukaryota; Viridiplantae; Streptophyta; Magnoliopsida; Brassicales; Brassicaceae.